This is a non-coding RNA of Rattus norvegicus (Norway rat), 18940 nucleotides long. The record is from RefSeq and is a predicted model, not a curated record. NCBI's taxonomy places the organism in Eukaryota, Metazoa, Chordata, Mammalia, Rodentia, Muridae.
GCUGGAGACAGCUAUGUUGAGCUGCUUGCCCAAGACAAAAUAAAGACACUGAGGUAGUCAGAAUCUUGACUCUUAGGUGAGAGGCUGCAAGAUGCAGCCAGGCUUGCCUUUCUCCACAGAACUGUCUAAUAACCGCUCUGCUGAUUGGAUUUCUGACCACAAAGGUAAGCUCGGAGAGUUAAGAAAAUCAUUGCCUGAGAUAUACCUCGCCUGUACGUCACUCAGUAUUGUUACCAUUUCGAAAGGCAGAUGCAGCCAAGACUAUAGACAGUCAAGGCAGAUGGGUGGUGUGCAGUCUUACCUGGUGUGCCCACCACACCAUCAGGUACGAGAAAACUGCGAUCCAGGUGAUGGAGCCGAAGAACGUGAUAGGGAAGAACUUCUUGGAAGCCUGCGAGACAAGCAGAGUGGGGGGUGUUAGUGUUGCCCUCUGUGGCACCUUUUGGGUUGUGGUAGAGCCACAGUUUACCUCGUGGCAAGAAUACCAAUCAAGAAUUACCUUCCCCUAAUCAAACUGGGAGAGGAAAAGUUCAUUCUAGGAAAUUAAACCCGGUGGAUGCCGAAUGGUUGUAGAACUUGGAAAGACAUCUUUCUCCCUCCUCUCCCCACUUCUCUCUCUGAGACAAGGUCUUCUACCCUAGGAUAGCAAAGACAGCCCAGAAUUCACUACGUAGUUUAGGUUGGCCUCAGACCCUAAUUUCCUGACUCAGCCUUUAAAGUGCUGUGAUAUGUGCCACUGUGUUAGGCUCUGGAAGCCACUUGAGAGAAUGUCAGUUCAUGCCUGUAGCUAGAUGCCCAAUGCCUCUCCUCCUGCACUUUAUAAGACCUGGAUUCUCUGUCAUUUCUUCUGGUAAACAACUUACACCCUUCCUCUAUCUCUCCCCUCCCCCUUUUUAGUUUGCUCCCAAGUUCUCCAAUAUCAGGCCAUCAGAAUCUGCUGCUGGCAAACCAUGUGUCACGAUAAUCUACACGCCAAACCCCUUAUAUGACUGAUUAUAUGGGACAAAAAUGGGAAGGACUAGGAAGGUUGAAAAUAUCUUAACUCUUCUUCGAGUCCCAUGAGUUAUCAGGAAAGCCACCGGCCACAGACGGGUGGUGAUGGUGAGCCUCUAGGACACCACCCUCACACAUCAGUGGGAGUGGACAGAGGAGAUGCUCGGUUAGAGCAAACUCCAAGGGGGAGGGGCAGGCCAGGCACACUCUUGGGAAUGCGCUUCCUCCUGUGUGCUACUCUGCUCCAUAUUACAAGUUUCAUUCUUGUGACACUGGACUUUGUGUCAUCUUGAGCUUGUACAGUGUGAGAACACUCAGAGUUCCCUCAGAACAUCAGUCAAAAACCAGGCACUCAGAAGUAUAGUCUUGGGGUUGGGGAUUUAGCUCAGUGGUAGAGCACUUGCUUAGCAAGCACAAGGCCCUGGGUUUGGUCCCCAGCUCCGGAAAAAAAAAAGUAUAGUCUUUCAGGACCAACAAGAUAGCCUAGUGGGUGAAGGUGCCUGCUGACAAGACAGACAACCUGUGUUCUCCCCUUAGAAAGGAGAAAGGAGAGAACCAACUCCUGCCAGUUGUUUCUGAUCGCAUGGACGAAAUAACGAACAAACACACAAAUACAUAAUAAACACAAUAUUUCUUACUUAAGCCCACUCCUGGGGAGUGGUGGUUUGUGCUGAACUAGUUUCUUCUGGUUCCCUUGAUGGAAAACAUGGACCAUGCUUAGUUGGACAACGGAAGGCUGUUUGGGAGCUUACCGCCUCUUCUUGCUAAUGCUUUUGCUUUCAAAGCUUUCUACGCUGGGAAAAACCACACGUUGUGCUUUGAUAAUGUCAUCCAGUUCGGGGCAGUGGCUCCUACAUUUGAUGUAAAUUGAGGAAGCCUUAGUUGUCCAAAGAGCUGGUUCAGGGCAGCCCCAGAGAGUCCAUUCCGCCAUGGAAUUUGAAGGUUCAUUGGAAGGAAAAAAUAAACUCGUGUGUGUCAAUCUUCUAAGUCUGAGGCCCGGUGAUAGGCUUUAUGGUUCCAGACAAGGCUUGCAUUCUCUUCGUUAAUUUCCAGCUUUGAGUACGUCUGGUUUUUUAUUAUUCACAUACCCCUUAGACUUUACAAGAAUCUUUUCUCUCUUCCAAUGGCUGCUGCUUUGCAGAGGACCAUUCUCUGGGGUGACAGUAAGACCAUUUUCUUUGACGGUUGUGUCAAUGACUUCUAUGGUAUCAUCUGCCCCUGAGAUUCUCUCUUCUAUCUCUUGUACUCUGUUGGUGAUGCUUGUGUCUAUGACUCCUCAUCUCUUUCCCAGGUUUUCUAUCUCCAGGGUUAUCUCCCUUUGUGAUUUCUUUAUUGUUUCUAUUUCCAUUUUUAGAUCCUGGAUGGUUUUGUUCAAUUCCUUCACUUGUUUGGUUGUGUUCUCCUGUAUUUCUCCCCACUACCCUGCCUGAUUUCUUUAAGGGAGUUAUUAAUGUCCUUCUUAAGGUCCUCUAUCACUAUCAUGAGAUGUGAUUUUAAACCAAAUCUUGCUUUACCACAGUGUUGGGUUACCCAGGACUUGCUGUGGUGGGGAGAACUGGGUUCUAAUGAUGCCGAGAGGCCUUGUUUUCUGUUGCUUAGGUUCUUGUCCUUGCCUCUUGCCAUCUGGUUUUCUCUGGUGUUAGCUGGUUUUGCUGUCUCUGACUGGGCCUGUGAGCGUGUGGCCUUAGGAGUGAGAGCACUCCUGGGAGACCAGCUCUCUCGGGGCAGGAUUCGGGUAGAGAGGGCUGUGGGACAGCCUUAGGUCUGGGCACAGAAGGAGACUAGAAGGAUCCUGUCCCGGGCUGCUCUGUGGUUCUGAAUGUAAGACCAAAUGGACAUGCUCAAUUGGGAGAGGGCAUCAUGCCACAUUGAGCAGGCCAAAUAUCACCCUGAAAUGCUUCCCUGUGCUCCUCUUCUUUCUCAGAAGAAAAAUAUUUUGGAUAAGGACUCAGGCCUUUCUCAGAGCCCUGAGCAUUUCAGCAGGUGAUGAGGAAACACUUUUUCCCCUGCCCCCCAAAGUGGAACCUAGACCUUCUAUUCCCAAAGCGGAUUUCUAAAAGGCUGGGAACUGGAAGUGUCCUGAGAAGACACUAAGCUUGCCCAGUCUUUUCCUUCUGGUUGCUGGUUGUUGUUUCAGGAUGCAGGUCUCAGUCUUCCAGGGUCAUGCUCUGUCAUAGGCAGAGACAGGCAAUGACUGCCAUAUAAGGCUACCUCUGACUCCAGUAGCAACUACAUCAGGAUUCUGCACGUGUCAUGAGAAGCUCAGAGAGCUGUGAGCUACUUUAUGCUGAGACGUCCAUACCUCGUGCCCUGGAGCAUCUUCACGGGGCUGUUCUAUUUCCAGCUUUGUGUAUUUACUGAAUGUAUACUUUUCUUUAGGUCUUGUUUAGUACAUUUUAAAAUGUCCCAUUUGCACAUCUGUUCAUUGGGGUGAUGUCAUCAGUCAGGAUCAAAAUACUAAGAUCCCCUUACAACGCCGAGCUGUGGCACAUUCUGAGCCAAAUGGACAAAGCCAGGGGUGAGACUAGGGAUGUGAAGGAACCAAAUGGAAACCAAUUCAUAAGUGGAAACCUGCCCGAUUCAAUAUUUGAUACUUAAGGUUCUUAAUCAGGUUACCAAUUAAUAAUCAAUAGGCAUAAAAUGCGCCAAGUGUAGAAUUAGAGGCUUAUUAAAAAAGCAAAUAUUCUUAGGUGAAUUUCAGGGUCUUCAUCAUUUACUAGGAGCAGGUAGAUUGGGUACCCACUUUGUACACCGCUCUUCAACUAGAGAGGAAAUUCAGCAACUACACAGCACGUCUGCCUAACACUUCCUGAAGAAAACAGGGCCAAAAACAGCUCAAAAUACACACAGCCUCAGGCAGUACAAACAUCAUCAUCAUCACCACCACCACCACCACCAUCAUCAUGAUGCCAGGAUCUAUCCCCAACGUCAGAAAAUUAAAAAAAGAAAAACCAUCCAGGAAACAGGGGCCAGUGCUCCAGCUGUUUGGCCAUCUGCCUCCCCAGCCUCCCAUAUUGUUCUUGCUUCAGAAGCUGCAACCCUUCAUGCACCAGCAGUUUGGCUAAUUGUUUCUCUGUCAAACUGCCUUGCCAUGCCCAGUCUCACAGCCCAGGAAAUCACUUCUCUCAUUUUGGUCUGGACCGUUCUCCUCAUUUGGACUCCAUGGUUUCAUUCUGAAUACCACUGCCCUGGAGCAUCUGCACAGGUAUUAGGUUACCAGUCCCAUUGGAAAAGAGAAAAUAGCCCCCCCCCCAAAGAAAACCAAGGUCUCACACAUUAGGUUAUAGUCGGCAAUGGUGGCUCAUUUUGACAUCUGUUAGGAUAGGUUUCAUACCAAUUAGCGAAUGAGCAAAUUGUGUCCAUGUGCUGUCCAUUUUGUUUCCGAUGUAAUGGUUAGGUACCUAAUUGACAGCUAAUGUUCCCAUUAGACGCUUUUAGUAGAGCAGUGUGAUAUUGGUUUGAAAAAUGUCACUGGACAAUAGUUGGCUGAGCAAACUGGCCAUGUCCUUGCUGUCCUAAAUUUAAUUGUCACCGAGUAUCUACUUUGUGCAAUUUCCUGAAGAAUAGACUUUGGGUGGAAGAAGGGAUGGGGGUGUUGCUAUGUAGCCCAGGGUAUUUUCAAAUUUAUAAUUGUCUCGCUUUGGUAUUCUGAGUAGUGGUGGUCACAGGAACUUAUCAAUAAGCCUGGAGUGAAGCAUACAUUUUUUUUUACAUUCAUGUAUUUAUUUAUCUAUUCAUUCAUUCAUUCAUUCAUUCAUUCAUUCAUUCAUUCAGUGUGUGUGUGUGUGUGUGUGUGUGUGUGUGUGUGUGUGUGUGUGUGUGUGUGUGUGAAGGUAUGGAACAACUUGUGGGAGUCUGUUAUCUCUUCCUACCAUGUGAGUCCUGGAAAUCAAGUUUAGGCCAAAAGGCAUGGUAGUGAUUCCCUUCACCUGCCGAGCCAUCUUGCUGGUUCUGGAGGUAUACAUUUAAGAAGUUUCCCCCAAAAUCCUACUAAGAUGAAGUUCAUGACCACUGGGUUAAGAUAAUGGAGGUUGAAAUCUCGGUUUCCAAGUGAGCAGUGAUUUUUCACUUAGAAACAACUGUCUAGCUCUUUAAGUUUUGGUUUCUUAGUUUGUAAAAUGGAGGGGAAAGGCGGUGCAAAUCUAAAUGUUCUGAAGAUUCAUGUGCACUGAAAGUCUAGCAAAGCACACGAGGACAUAGCACACGAGAAGUGCCCAGAUAAUAACUACAGUUGUGUCUGUACACUAUUGUCUUUAUUGGAGUUUUUAAGAAACGAGGAGGCUGACCCCUGGGUAGGUAAAGUGACUGUGGACGCAUUAGGUAUGAUGGAGUCUUGACUUUCCUCUUAGUAGCUGACUGUGAUUGAACAAACCACAACCCUCCCUGGGUCUCAAUCACUUGCUACAUUCUUGCUACACCGUGUUUGGCUCCUGCUAGAAAACCAAUAGAAACUUGGUGAAUGAACAGACGACUGAGUCUGCAGAUCUCUAGCUGGGUGCUCAGUCUCCUUCCCGGCUCCAGUGGAUCAUGCUUUCCUAUCUUAAGAGCUGUGCCCCUCCUCUGUAUGAACAUCCAUCUCAGGCCAUGGAGAAAACAGCAUUGGCUGUUUUAUUGUUUAUUGUUUUCAGUUUCCUUCACAGAUGUGUUUCUCAUCAAGGAUUAAACUUUAGCCUUUUCCCUUUUCAAACAAAGGUGUUGGUAUAAGGAAACUAACUGUGAGGCUACUACUUAGUGUCUCCGCUGAAAGUAUGUACAGAUAGGCAUGGAAUUUGCAUAGAAAUGAUGUGGGACUAAAAACAAGUGGGAGUAAUAUUUAUUCUGAAAUUAGAGCUAAUUAUUGGUAAGCCUUGGGAUGGUCAUCUCCAUGAGGAAUUAAAAAAAAAAAAACUACUGAAGAAACAGAGAUGGUGGGCCCUAAAAAGGAGAAAAUGUUUGUUAAUGUUCUCAUUCUUUUCCUUUUCCCUUGAUAUUACCUCCUGUGGCCUUUGUGGACAUAGAUAAGGUCUAUGGAAGGACUAAAACAAAGACCCCCCCUCCCCUGCUGCCAGUACACUACUCUGUGUGGUGGUUUGUAUAUGGUUGGCCCAGAGAGUGGCACCAUUAGGAGGUGGGACCUUGUUGGAGUAGGUAUGGCCUUGUUGGAGUAGGUAUGGCCUCGUUGGAGUAGGUAUGGCCUUGUUGGAGUAGGUAUGGCCUUGUUGGAGUAGGUAUGGCCUCGUUGGAGUAGGUAUGGCCUUGUUGGAGUAGGUAUGGCCUUGUUGUAGGGGUGGGCUUUGAGGCCCUUCUCCCAGCUGCCUGGAAGACUGUCUCCUGACUACUUUGGAUAUGGAUAUAGAACUCUUAGCUUUUCCAGUGCCAUGUCUGCCUGCCUGCUGCCAUGCUUCCCGCCAUGAUGAUAAUGGACUCAACCUCUGAAAGUGUAAACCAACCACAACCAAAUGUCCUUUAUAAGAGUUGCCUUGGCCAUGGUGUCUCUUCACAGAAGUGGAAACUGAAACUAAGACACUGCCUUUUCGAUCAAUAGGUGACCAUUUCUCUGAGGUUUGGGCUGGAUUAACAUUGGCUUCAAUCAACAGAAUGUGCUAGCAAUGAUGGAGUCGAAUUCCAAAUUACAUCUCAGGAGGGGCUUUGGAGUUUUCAUUCUUAUAGCUCUUGGUCCUUUUUUUUUUUAAUCCUGUGAUUAAGUCCAACCUAGAAUACUUAAAAAUUAGAGAUUUUGUUGAACAGAAGCUGUUUUUCCUGAGAGGUAACCUGCUCCCAGGAGAACUGUCUAGCUGAGCCUAGAGGAAAUUCACUAGUUUUAAGCUGAGUUUGAGAUGGUGUGUUACAGACCAAAAGAGAAAAUUGGCAUAAGAAACAAUCUAAUAAAAGUCCCCUGUAGUAAAUAUGACCAGGAAACAUCUUAAUGGCUCAUAUAUCUGUGGGCGAGGUUUUUUUUUUAUUUGGCCUCCUGUAUAUGCAGGGAGGUCUACAUAGUUUGUUUCCCAACCAAUAUACUCUCAGAGUAAGCUGAGACUUGUGACUAUCGCGGGCAAGCUGGGGGAUAGAGCCCCCUUCAAUCUCCAAUAUUGUAUCGAGGCUGAUCUCCUUAUUUUUUGCUUUUUUCUGUUAUAGAAUGCCAAGGCUGGUAGGGAAUCUAGAGAUCUUAGGAACCUUUGUUAAUAGUUGACGAAAAUGGGGUCCAGAGAAACGUGUUUCCCAAGGUUGCUCCUAUAAGGUAGGAGAGGAGGAUCAAAUUACUAGAGUCAGGGCAGUGCAGUGAGCAUGACCUGGAGUGGGAGUCUGAGGCUCUAGUCUCCUUUUACUGUUGCUAUGAAAUACUGCUUUGACUUAUAUGUGUUUUUUACUUGUGGUCAUUAUUGCUAUGAUGAGACACUCUGACUAAAAGUAACUUGAGGAGCAAGGGUUUCUUUGGCUUAUAAUUCCACAUUACUGUUGAUUAUUAAAGGAAGUCAGGACAAAAACUCGAACAGGGCAGGAGCAUGAAGGCGGGAGCUCACACAAAGGCAAUAGAGCCAUACUGCUCACUGGCUUACUUGCCUGGGCUUGCUCAGCCUGCUUUUUCAUAGAACUCAGGAUCACUAGCCCAGGGAUGGCAGCACCAAGAUGGACUGGGCCCUUCUACAUCGAUCACUAAUUAAGAAAAAUGCCCUACAAGUUUUCCUAUAGCUCCAUUUAUGAAAGCAUUUCUCACCGAGGUUCCUUUCUCUCAGACAGCUUUAGCUUGUAUCAAGUUGACAUAAAACUGUCUGGCACAGUGAGCAUACCUUGGUUUAGUUAUUAAACUGUGAAUUUUGUGUUAUUAUACUCUUUAAGGGCAUAUGUGGUCCUUAGUGCGGAAUAUUUGCUGAGGAAAUCUGAACAUAACCUUGUGUUCCCUUGGUAGUCUCAUUUCUGCUUAGAAUAGCAUACAGAACCCAGAAAAGACAGACACUAGUCCAUUUCAUAUUGUGGCUGGUGCUUGGGGAAGCAAGGAGGGUAAUGGCUAAUCUCCAUUGUCUUGACAGGAUUUGGAAUCACAUAGAAGAGAUACCCCUGGGCUUGUCUUUGAGGGCACGUUCAAGGAGGAGUAACUGAGGAAAGGAAGCUCAUCCUGAGUGUGGGUGACAACAUCCUACGGGGACCCAACUGGGUCAACAGAAGGAAAUCAGUGGGCACUAGUCUUCACCUCUCUCUGCUCCAGACUACUUCAAUCUUCUGGUGUCAAGAAAUCUGAGGGGAGGCCAUGUGGUCGCAGAGACCUGGGUAUGCCUCUCAGUUCCCUCCUCUGGAAAGCGGCCAGGUAUGAUUUGGUUGACUUGUUUUAUGCCCCUUUUUUUAUACAAAGCGAAGGGACUCUGGCCAGGUUGAACAUGGUGAGCACGGCUCUGGCAGGCCUUGCCCUUCUCUCCCAUUCCUUCUGCAUUAUGAAAAACCAAUAGAGUAUAUUCCUGAAGCUGGCCCACAAGGUCUAUUCCUUAAUCUGUCUAAUUCCUCCUCCUGAGGCUGACUACCAAAGUCCAGCUGUCAAAAUACUGAAGUCCAGCAAUCAAAAGCCUCCUAAUUAACAAGCCUAAUUAAAACUAAACACUUCAUCCUAACGGGGUUUCCUGUUGUAACUUUAUAAACUGCCAUUUUCCUAUGGGCAAGUCUGUCUCCUCUCUAGCCAGAGGUAGUCCUUUGCCUGUUCCCCUCAGGAUAAAUAUUUUUAUAACUUCUCCCUUGUUCCCUUCCCUUUCUUCCUCUUUCUCUAUUUCCUGUCCUUGUCUCUUUGUGCUUCUGGGCAAAUAAAUCUCUUUUGUCCUGGCUGAGAACUUGGUCUUGGGGGUCCUGAGCUGAUAUUUUUUCACCAAUAAUACAUGUAUAUCCUAUUAUAGACGUUUCCAGAGACCUCACGAUGUGGUUCAUUGAGAAUUGAAUUGGUGCAGAAUCUGAUGCAUGAUAGGUACAUGCUUCAGUCAUGUGUGUGUUGGUGCCUGUGCCCUAAUACUGUCAUUACCAUUUUCACCUCCAGGGCAAACGUUAACAGUUCAAGAUCCGAGUUUCCCAACCCUGGGAGGGAAUGUUCCUCUGGUUAGUCGGCACUUGGAUUGCAUUUCGCUGUGUCUGUCGGAUGGUAAAGGCAUUCACAGCCCUUGACAUCUGACAUUCUUAAAUAAUAAUAUUGGUUAUAGUGAUGGCAAUAGAAUUGUAGAAGGGAUAUCAUGUAUGUAGGCAUGUGCAAUUCUUUAAAUUAUUUUUUUAAAUCAAUAUAUAGCCAAAAGAAAAUUCAAUGAAAUACUGAGUUGCUUUCCUGCUAGAACCUUGAGCUGUACCCCUUAUGAGAAAAUGGCUACGAGGUUUCAGGGUUUUUCUUUAUUUUGAAAUUUUCCUCAUUAAGAGAUUCAUGUGGCAUGUGACAUUGGCAUAUAUUCCUUGUCAACUAUCUUUUAUGAUUUAUUUCUUUGAAAAUUGUGUAUACAUGCAUGUAUCUAUAUCUGGGUUUGUACACACUUGUCUGCAGGUUCCCUCAGAAUCCAGGAGCUGGCAUCUAGAGAACUGGAGUUACAAGUGGCUGUGAGCCACUAUUGUGGUUUCUGAAAGCUGAACUCAGGUCCUCUGCAAGAGCAGCGUGCGCUCUUAAUCACUGAGCCAUUUUUCUUGCCUCUAGGCAAAUGCUUUCACCCUUCUCUCCAUUUGUAAAAUGAUAGGCUCUCUUUACAUAUCCCUGGCUGUCCCAGAACUCACUAUGUAGAUCAGGCUGGCCUUGAACUCACAGAGAUCUGCCUGGGGUAGAGAUGAACCAUCCCCAGUGUACCCCACUUCAAUUCCCACCCUACAGGAUCCAUGAGCAGAGUAAAAUGGUGUUUUUCACACUUCUAGUUUCUGGGGGUGGUUCACGUUUUUUUAGUCACUGAACAAUUGCUGUGAUUGAAGUUGCAGGCAUGUCUGAGAACACUGUGCCACCUCGCCUUUCUCUUUAAAUACACCUGGAAAGGGACGGUGGUGGCUACCAUACUUUUUACAAGGGAGCAGUUUCCACAGGGGUUCACUCACAGGUUUGCGGACGUCGGGUAAGGUGAUCCAGAGAGGGAACACGAUGGGAAGAACGAUUAGGAAGGUGAUCUGCUUGCGGGUGUUGGACGGCCAGGACAGGCUGAGGGGCUGGUCAUCAUCUUCCUCGGCGGUCUCUGUGGCCUGCUGUAGAACAAGAGGACAGAUAUAAACAGGCAGUGACCAGGGGAGUCACGGGGCCACAAACCCCAAGAGCAAUCUAGGCUUGUCUUGAGUUCCACUGAGGCUUUUCUCAAGCCACCCCAGCUGCCUUCCCAGGCUUUCUUUUUGUAAGAGCUCCCCACCUAUCACAGCCCGAGGCUCAGGAAUGAGCAGUGCUUCGCCCCUCCAGAGCACUCUACAAGUUUCUUUUCAUGCCUUGGGGGUAUUUUAUGGCCUCUCAUGCUUAUCAACUGAUUUUUUAACACCAACCAUAAUUAUUCCUCAAUAUUGUUUGAUCCACUGUGUCUCUUAUUCAGCUGUAAAAAACAAUGGGCUUCUUUUUGCAUAUAAUGUGCUUUGAUAUGAUUCACUUCAUCCUCUCAAAAACCUCCCUUCAUGACCAUUUUAUGGUUAACAACAUCUGUUGAUCAAUUGACCUGUGACCCCAUCUCCUUUUCCCUAGGGCUGUGAUUCAGACACCUUGGGAGGAAGAACACAGGUUUAAAAAGUUUAAAAAAUUAAAAUCCUUUCCUCCCCCUCCUCCUCUCUUUGCUUCCAACUGAUUCUCACCAGGCACAGAAAACUCACUUCAGAAACAGCUGAGUGACGAUCCUGAGAGGUCCUAGCUGCAUCUCACCCACCCAAGAAUAAGCUUAGCACGUCUGCACGGGUGUUCCUAACUUGCUUAAUCGAUGGGGUGAAUUCUAAACCAUUUCAUUCGUCAUUGAAGGCACAGUAUACAAACACGUGCCUUAGGACUCAGAGAAACAGGGCUAACGUGUGCCACGGGACCGACUCUGCCUGCCAUCUCAGAGGCAGGGCACAAACACUCAGUCUCUGAUGUGGUAGUCCUGCUCCCCGUGUUUUGGUGUCUUCUAUUGCACUCCGCAGCUCUCAGGCCCCAGGGGCAGAGGAGACAAAAGGUGGGUUUGCCCAGCAGGGUGACCAUUGGUCUCAGAGAUGGGACCACCGUGUCAGUACCACAGCACUGCUGACCACCCAUCGCUGCCCACUCUGCUUGUUUAGAAACGAAACUGCAGCACCAGAUCAGAAACGAUCAAUAAGUGCUCCUGUAGUGAGGUUUCCUUUAGGUAGCACAGAGAAUGGCUUCAGGCUUUUGCACAUGUAAGUACCAGGGCUGACUUCUUCAGUGUCUGUGUUCCUGAGGAGGGGCAGGUAGAAAAGGUUUGGGCCAGAUGGCUUAAGGAACAAAGGAUUUAGCUAGAGGUCAUUGCUAGGUCUGUGCAGAUCCACGGCAAUACUACUGUUUAUUUGCUGGUACACAUUAGGGGUGGACAAAUGGUCUUAAGAAAAAAAAAUCAAGAGAUUGGAAGCCAUACUGGAAAAGACUGGAAACAACAGGUUCGUGGCAGUGGGUAAGUAUCCACAGAGUACAAACAGGAAAGGGUUGUGGGGAUUAGGUAAACAGGUUGACACUGUAUUCUGGUCACCCAGACCUUCAUCAAACACAUACCGCACGCAACCCACUCCAACCCAUUUGUUGAUGUGAUGCAGAAGCCACCUUAUCCACCACAGUCUCUACUCUUUCCAGGGAGCUCUGUCCCUGAUCUUAGCCACCCCAUCGUCCUUGGAGGAGAGGUGACCCACAGACAACCAACCUCUAUGGGCUUACAUACCUACGGUGCCACCUCGGAACAAGAACGAUUAUCUCUGUGUCACGGGGCAGUGAAGACUAAGAAGGCUUGGGGCCUGUUAAGUUUUCUCCAAUGAGGCCUUCUUCACAAAACCAAAUGAACUAUUUCCCCUUCCACAACCGGGUAGUGGGCACUUAGAAGUAGGCACGGAGAGCUGAGGUGCUAUUCCAGCCUUCAUGAGCACCUCAUCUCAUACCACGUACAGGGUUUAACCCAGCCGAGGAUUGGCUUCCCUGAAGACGAAUCAGCUCAUCCGAUGAACUCACCAAGCUCUUUCUUCCUGGGUGACCUCCCCUCCUGUCUCCGUCCCCACCUCCAUCCACAAGUUAACAACUUCUCUCUAAACUCCAAGCUAUACUUUUUUUUUUGGAGAAAAGAAAAGCCAAAACCCAAAAGCAACGCUUUAUGACUCAUAUCAUUUUAAUGACACCAACAGAUGGUGACAUUUCAUCAAUAACCUUCUGCUUGUAACCUGCGGAUUAGCUCUUUUCUCCAUCUGCCAAAGUCACCAGGCAGGCAGCACCACAAGCAAACAGCAGAAAAUAAUUGUCUGUUUGGAUGUUUAAGCUCUCAACGCACUAGUGUCCAGUGCAAGCAGUUAGCUGUGUUGCGUGGGGUCCGAGGGUGGCACUUAAGGAGGCUGUUGCUAGGGCAGGAGCAGAGGAGAAGAGUCUAUGCCUACCGGAAUCUCUCCUCUUCAGGGGGUGUGGGGUGGGGGGCAAUUCCUACUGCAGGGACGUGAAGGAACCUAGAACCCUGGGAUGGAUGGGAGAGGGGCCUCAGGAGCAAGCUGUCAGAACACUUCAGAAGAAGUUCUUUUUGUCUUCUUGCCAGGGAAAUCUCACUCCGGCUCAAUGGGCAACAGCUUGCAAGCUGGUUAGAGACACAGCAGAAGAACACACUGUUCCAAGUUCAGGGCCUAUUUUGUCUCUGCCUGAGCAGGAGACGCAAUGCAAGAAUUAGGCUGGGCUCCAAUCAAGAGGCCACUGAGGACAGGGGAAGGAGUUUCAGCUUUUACUAGUGUUGUGGCUUGCUGGCUCUGACCUUGUGAUGACCCACGCUUGCCUCUUAAAUUGUCUGAAGCAAGCCCCCAGAAAACAUGGCAAGGAGAGCAGGCUGUGCCAGAAAGAAUCCGAGUGAUUUUUGAUGUAAAGGCGUAACAUGGUUUGCUCUCUGCUGGGGUCCUGUGCAAGCCCAAUGGUUACACAAAACUAGGCUCUUUAGGACCUUGGCAUUUCUGCUAUAAAAGGACCUUAGGGAAAAAUACAUUACUCAGGGCGGGCGUGGGAAGUUUAUACCUAUAAUCCUACUACUCCCAAAAGCUGAGACAGGAGGAUUCCAGUCUUCAAGGCCAGUCUGGGCUAUAUGAUGAGUAGCAGGUUUGCUAGAAUGUAUAGAGAAAUGCUUUACACACACACACACACACACACACACACACACACACACAGACACACACACACAGACACACACACAUACACAGACACACACGCAUGCACACACACAUACACACAGACACACAUGCAUGCACACACACACACACACACACACACACACACACACACACACACACACACACGCAUGCACACAACUUUAACUAGUUUCCCAAGUGAUGGAUGGUGCAUUGGCCCUCAGACCUAGCAGGAUGGGGAGAGCAGGCAACAGAGUUGGAACUUGCAAACUCCAGUUUUCAGAUUUCUCAAGCGGCUUCUCCUUUUAUGUAUAAAGCCAAUUAUGAAAAUCUAAGGCUCCUGCUUCUUGUAUUUAAAAGGAGAGGCAAAACAGAAGAUCUCAAGGCACGUACUGUUGGUUACUUGCAGGACCUGUGCCAUCCAUUUAGCAUGUCUGCAUGUCCGCUGUAGGGAGUCACCAGUCCAGAGGUUACCUCUGAAGCCUGAACACUGUUUCUUGGAAGCAACCCAGUAUCUCGUUUUCGACAUCAGGUUCUAGAGAGAUGGUAACCCACUCUAGGGCAGCCUCUUCUUUGAACAAAUUAAGUUGAAAGCAAAGCAAAACAACCCUAGAAGGACCUGUAACUAAGCUGCUUUUAGAUAUUUUAGUCUUGCAGGUUGCUGGCAAGGUCUCCCCCCAGCUCCCAGGAAGUGGCCUCAGGGUUGCCAGGGUUGGCCUCCAACUCAGCUUAGCUGGGAUUUAUUCGCUUCAAGUUGUAAGUGAAGAUCUUACUCCCUUGUCCUGACUCACUUCAGACCUUAGAGGUGCUGCCUUUCCCCACUGGCAGCACCUCAGUGUGGUGCGACAUUGGGUAGGAAUAUGAUGGCAGCCCCUCCAUGUCUGCAAUGCUCAGGGGACGACGUGGGUUCCCCUGCAGACACUGGUGUGCCUCACUGUCAGUAGGUCUUUAAACCAUGCCAUCUUUUUUUUUUCUUUUUUGGGUCUCUGCUGAGGGGCUACCUCCCUGAGGAGCUGUCACUCAAGCUUGCUGUGGGUGCUCAUAGAUCAUAAAAACCACCUACAGUUGCUGAGCUCCGGGGUCUUUAGGCACAGGAGCUUUAGGUGAGAGAGAAGCAUCGCCACAGCUUCCGAGUUGGAAGCGUCCCCCAUCCGAGACCAUCUGUCUUGGUUGAUGGAUGAGGGCCCUGAGAUGAAGUUGAAAGAAGGUCCCAAUUCCAGGCCAGGCUUCAGUGACCUCUUUCUCCUCCAUUCAACAGUGCCCACUUUCUCGAUGCCACAGAGCAGGCAUUUGUGACCUGUGGCAUCAGGCCUCCUUGCUUUGCUCUGUAAUAAAUUCAACCUGAUGUGGGUAUGAACCUGGGGCUCAUGGAUUCAGCUAGGCUGGCUGGUUAACGGUUUCUAGCGAUCUGCCUGUCUUCCCCCCAGUGCUGGAGUUACAGAUGUUACCACUGCAUCUGGAGUUUACUUGGAUAGCAUGGAUCUGCAUGUGUGGCGGGAACUUUAGGACUGAGCCAUCUCUCCAGCCCCUGAACCUGGCUUAAAAAAAUAUAGUGUUUCUGGACUCUGCUGGUCCUACACACACACACACACACACACACACACACACACACACACACACAAUUUAAAAGCUCAGCUGUAACAAACACUAAGCACUUGACAGACAUUUCCCCAUUUAUUAUCUUGAGCCUAAAACCAAUUUUUGAUUGUCUGGAUGGCCCAUACUUUUUUUUUUCCCUGAAAGAGUCAUCUCCCCCAAACCUCCUCAUAUUCCCUCCCUUUCCUUCGUGCUUUUAGCAUUCCCAAUAGCACUCAAGGGAUGGGAAGGGCAGUCCUGGGAUCAUGGGCGGGAGAAGCUGUCUCUUAGCUCCGGGUUCUAAGAUAUACAUUUAAAAAUUAUCACUUGUCAUUAUCAUCUACAACAUAAAGCCUGCAUUUAAGGCUCUAGAAAUAUCUCAAAAGAGGGGGUGGAAAGACUGUAAGAGUCAGAGGGUCAGGAAAUCUGCUGUGAGAUUGUGUCUCCUAGAAGUGACAGGGGAGAUUCAUCCACAAUACCACAGCAAUGUGACUGUCAGUAGAAGACCUGAAGGACAGCACCAACAGACAUGCUGUCAUGGAAAGGGAAUCUCACCGGGCCCCACACAUAGACAAAGUACAGUCAGCUAAGGAAAGCCGAGAGCAGAAAUAGUCUUCCCCAAGGAUGAGCCCCCCUAAUGGGUUAUCCAAUACCAUCCCUGAAAUCACAUACACACAAGUGGACCCCAAAAGUUGUAUUUAUAUAUUUAUGCGCAUGCACACACACACACACAUACACACACAGAUGCACACACACACACACACACUUAACAAUAACAGAGGAAAAGAGAUCAUGAACUUGUGGGGAGCAUGCAAAAUGUCAGAGAAAGGGGUUGGGGAUUUGGCUCAGUGGCAGAGCGCUUGCCUAGGAAGCGCAAGGCCCUGGGUUCGGUCCCCAGCUCCGAAAAAAAGAACCAAAAAAAAAAAAAUGUCAGAGAAAGGAAAAGGGAAGGGAGAAAUUGUGUAAUUUAAUUUUAAAAAUUUGAAAAAACCAAAAAUGCAGGAGCUAUAGACACCAGUGAAUACAAGGCUCUCAAACACAGACAAGAAGACAGGCUUUCUCCCUGGUUUCGGGGAAGGUGGCAGCUAAGCCCAACAAUGAGAUUUUAUGUGGGUUUCAGUGUUUGAUGCCACCCCAGACUCCCAUAACUGUGGACAAUUCAUUUUGGCCACCUUUAAAGUAGAUAUCUAUGGGGCAUUGUAGCAAAUGAAUGAGACUCUUUACGAUAAUAAACCUUCCUAGGACUAAUGUCAGCAAGGGCUGAGAUGUGAGCUGGGUCAGUUUUGGACUCUGUUAUUCAGUGUUUGAAGGUCAUGAUGCACCCCCCUCGCCCUCCUGGGAAGACAGUGCACAAGGAAACAGCUCUGUCUUUAUUCUGGGAUCACCUUUCUCUUUCUUUAUGCCCGAAGCAUUAAAAAAGAAGCUCUUUGGUAAUACGCAUCAUCUCUCAAAGUAGGUCUCCAUUGGGACUGGUGCAAGGUGUGUGGGCCUGGGCAGUGAGCCUGUAAGAUGCUCCCAGAGGACAUCCUGAUGGUGCCUUGUCUAACGACAAGACAGCUGUAGCAGGGCUCCACAGACACAUAGCCACUCCUCAUGUGCUUCCUAUGAAAUAGGAAGUCAGACAGAAAGCUGUUUAAAAUAGGACUUUUGUUCUAGAAGUUUCCUUUGCAGCACUGGCCUGAAAUAAUUCAUGCAAAGUACUCAGAACAGUGCUUGGCGCGGAACAAACACCCAAAAUGUGGCUAUUAACACUCUUAAAAAUAAACAGCCAGGAAAAUAAUUUUUCCUAGGAGAGGGAUUUGGUUAUGUGAAUUAUAAUGUCAUCCAACAAUAGAGUCCUACAAUAAUUCACUUAUUUGAUAUGGAGGUAGAAACUACCUGGUUUUCCCUCCAUCUGCUCACUCACCCAGCAUUUAUUGAGCAUUUGUUGACUGCAGUGAUACCCACAAUCUAACUCUCUUCUCUUAGUUCUAAUGGAUAAGUAGAAGACUCUGUAAACGAAAAGGAAGGGGAAAUUCCACAGCCCUGAGGAGAACCACUAUGCUAUUCAGGAGGUUGCUUCGAGAUGACUUUCUACUAGAAACUGAGCUUCUAAGCAGAUGAAACAGAAUGUGGAUUGUGGACAUGACUGACCCAGUGUCCUGGCCAAUUUUAUGUCAACUUGACGCGGGUUAUAGUUAUCUGAAAGGAGGGAACCUGAACUGAGGAAAUGCCUCCGUGAGAUCUCGCUGUGAAAACCACCAACUGAAGAUUAUACGUGGAGGAAUCUAUGGCUCCAGCUGCAUAUGUAGCAGAGGAUGGCAUUGUGUGACAUCAACGGGAGGGGAAGCUCUUGGUCCUGAGGAGGUUUGGUGCUCCAGCGUAGGAGGAUGCUAGAGCGAGCGGUGAGGCAGGAGUGGGCGAGCAGAAGGAAGAGCACCCUCUUACAGACAAAAGGGGAGGGGAGGAUGGGAUGGGGGUUACAGAGGAGCAACUGGGAAGGGAGGUAUCAUACAUUUGUACACAUUUAAAAUGUGUACAAAUAAAAUGAUUAAAAAAAGAUCUGGCUGAAGGCAUUUUCUUAAUUAGUAAUCGAUGGGGGAGGGCCCAGGUUAUUGCGGGUGGUGCCCUCCAUGGGCUGGUGUUCCUGGAUUCUAUAAGAAAGCAGGCUGAGUAAGCCAGUGAGCAGCCCUCCUCCAUGCUAUGCAUCAGCUCCUGCCUCCAGGUUCCUGACCUGAGGGGAAUUCUGCCCUCACUGAUUCUGAUGUGAAACUAUUCCAUGGGACUGAGAGUGAAAUAAUCCCCAAGUUGGCCACGGUGUUUCAUCACAGCAAGAGUAACCUAAAACUAAUAGUAACCCUAAACUAAGACAGCCACAUGACUACUGGCUUAUGGAUCUCUUCAGUGUCACAGACUCAAAAUCUGAAAGUCACCAUGGAAUCUGAAGUUUUAGGAUUUCAAAAUUAGUUUGUGGACUUGUCAAUUUGAAUUUUGAAUUGUGUUCAAAGCAGUCUCAGAGUCCUGGGAUGGUCUCUGAAAGGCUCUGCCCCCUAAGCUACACAUUUCCAUUCGCUUUUCCUCUGUUAAAACAGAAAAGUCUUGAAGAAGAAUUUUUUUUUUAAGAGCAGGUGAUGGAAAGCUAGAAAGCCAUAUAGGGACACUCCAGUCCGGCUGGAGAGAUGGCCCAGCGGUUAAGAGCACUGUCUGCUCUUCCAGAGGUCCUGAGUUCAAAUCCCACCAACUGCAUGGUGGCUCACAACCAUCUGUAAUGGGAUCUGAUGCCCUCUUCUGCUAUGUCUGACGACAGAGACAGUGCACUGAAAUAAAUAAAUAUUUAAAAAGAACUUUAAAACUUCAGUCAUUGGAAGGGAAGUAUCCUGGUUGUAAACUACUUGGAGCAUGUUAAGACCGCCCCUCCCCAGGGAACUGUGUUUGGAGAUUGAGAACUUGGAGGAAGUAAUCAAGGUUUAAUGAGGUUGUGAGGCUGGGGCCCUGAUCUGAAAUGAUUAGUUACCUUAUAAAAAGGCAUCCUGGAGUGCUUGUUCCCUGGAGUGUCCCCUACCCCUAGCUCUCCCUUUUCUGCAUUUCCCAGUCCCUGUAUGCCCUGAGGAAAGAUCAUGUAAGCUAGAAAGAGAAGCCAGAAAGAGAGCCUUGACUAGAGAGGUCCUUAAAUCCUCAGAACUGUGAGAAAAUGAGUCUGUGCUGUGUAAGUCUCCCCCCAUCCACGGUGUUUUUGAGGUUUGUCUAGUAGUCUACUAUGCUAACUGUAUGGGUAUUGGUUCUUCUCCAGCAGUCCAUGGCUGAGGAGAUGCUCUGGCUUGGAAAGAAAGUGCAUUUACUUAAUGUAACCUGCUUAUCACCCGUCCUUUAAAAACGCACUUCUGAGUCUUAGAGUAACCUACCUCUGUGUUCAGAGAGUCUCGCUGAUCUCUCAUAUUUUCGACCAACAUCCCUUAUUCUCUUUAAUAUGUCCUUAGUCUCUAAGUCCCUGCCCAUCGUCUCUUAUACACAAAGUAAGUUUAAAAGACCCUGAGUCUAACACCCUCCCUUUGUAGAAAGGAUGCACCAUCUGAGACAUUGCCUUGCCUUCUGUGUGAACCUCCUGAACUGACAGUAGUAAUCUUUAACUAGAAAACAGAUUUUCUUAAAACACACA